CUCCUCCUGCUCUUCGCCUUCCCCAGCUCAACCGCCCGCGCCGCCCGGCUGCUCCUCCUUCCUCCCCGGGGUGUCGCAGCGAUGUUUAACCGCGCUGUGAGCCGGCUGAGCAGGAAGCGGCCGCCGUCAGAUAUCCACGACAGUGAUGGGAGUGCCAGCAGCAGCCACCAGAACCCCAAGAGCACAGCCAAGUGGGCGGCUUCUUUGGAGAAUCUACUUGAAGACCCAGAAGGCGUGAAAAGAUUUAGGGUUUGCAUUUUUGUUGUUGUUGUUGACUGGGAUUGAUGCAACACACCAAGCGGUUUCAGAGCCUGUGGGGGAAACCCAGGCCAGCUUUUAACACUGCGUGUCCCCACUUGAGAAUGAGACCGGCGCACCUGUCAUGCCCAAGAUGGAAACGCUUUCCCGCACAGUUCUUAUACAGCUGGCUGGGAGGGGUAGAGAUGCCGGGGACGCGGUUCCAUGCUUGUUGACAAAGCGUUUCCAGCUCUGUGACACCUGGAAGGGGGUGGCCUGGGUUUCUGUGAUGUGAAGGUUUGUUCUCUUGUGUGUUGGGGAUUUUCAGGAUAUAUUAGUGACAGUGAAAGAGGCCGGAUGACAGCUGGCAAGGUGAAGUUGAACUCAGAGGAGGGCAGGUGGAUGACAAGGUCAGUGCUGCCUAGAAAGGGUCUGCAGAAACCCCAGGUGUCAGAAGAACCACAUGUGAAUGUCAAGAAUGCCUUUUAUCUGCCCGACUCCCACUGACGUCUGUCUUUAAGCCUUGGGUCAGGCCAGGAUAAGCUCUCGUGCUGUUGCUCCCUGUUGCAGAUUCCAAGGAGGGGGUAGCAGGCAGGGCUACUCACAGUUCUGGACAGAGGACCCCAGUGAGCACCAUCUGGAUCUCGAGGAGAAAACUUUUCCAUGCAUAGCCAGAGAGCUGGCUGUGCCAACAAGCCCCCCAACAUCUGCCAGAGGAAAGCACACCUCCAACUUCAGAUAGUUUUCAUCAUGGCAUUUCUAGACAUGCUUAAUAUGUUUUCUUUUGUUUAAAAAAAGGGGGGGCCUAAAUUUAGAGGAAUGUACUUUGUUUAAACACUGUCUAGAAGGAAUGAAUAGAUCUUCCACUUUAAUUUACUUUCUGGUAAUUUAUUGUCAGUUGAGAAUUGUAAGUAGAUUCCUGCUUUCUUACUCUUCUUCACAAUGUCAAAGUCAUUAAGUUCAAAUGCACGUGGAAUUCCAUCUGUAACAUUAAACAUACAUGGGGUUUUUCAGGGCGGAGAUUGAUCAGUUAUUGAAUUUUGACAUAUCUGUUCUUAAAGGGAAAUGCUUUGUUUUUGAAGUAGAAUACUGUUUGACAUUUUUCUUCUUUUCAUCCAUAGGAGUUUUUAAAAAAAGAAUUCAGUGAAGAGAAUGUUUUGUUUUGGCUAGCCUGUGAAGAUUUUAAGAAAACACAAGAUAAAAAGCAGAUGCAGGAAAAGGCAAAGGAGAUAUACAUGACCUUUCUGUCCAGCAAGGCCUCAUCACAAGUCAAUGUUGAGGGCCAGUCCCGGCUCAAUGAGAAGAUUCUGGAGGAACCACACCCACUGAUGUUCCAAAAACUCCAGGACCAGGUAAUCUGACUUCCCUACUUAGACCUUGAUUUGAAAACUGACAUCCCCCCCCCGACCCCACCCCAAGUCUGGAAGAAUUCAGUUAAGACUAAACGUUAGACACCCGUCUCUUCCAGAUGGACAGGCUGAGGCCCGUGGAGGGUCUGUGGUUGGUGACAGACAGAUACUGACUUGCCAGGCCCAGGAACUGGCCCGGAGGAGCCUCCCUCAGGCCUCUUUCUGUCUACACACAGUUUGACCCAGCAGGGUUAUCUGGCUUCUCAGCCAGCUUAGAAGGGAGGCUGGAGUUAGUUGAGGAACCCACAGAGGAAGCAACACGUGAUAUAACUGAAGGUAGGAGCAGCCAGAGAAAUCUAGCAAACAAGCACACAGACUCGAAGUGGCAGGGAACCUAAGGUUGCUGUGCUAAUGCCCAAAUAUUGCCACCUGCUUCUGAUGGCUCAGGAGCCCACUUUGCCAACAUAAAUGCACUUAAAGCAGGAAAAGUUAGAUUUCAAGAAAGGACCUAUAAGGGGUAAACUUUAGUUUUCUGGCAAAUUUUCAUAGGAGGAAUGCCAGAAGUAAGAUAGGCAAAAGGGAUGAAAUUGUACUGCAGAGGUUUUUGUUUUUGACAUGAAUUUGCAAAUGUGACUAUUCAUAGCAUACUCUGUUCUUAGGAAAUGGUAUGUACACACUUGCAGAGCAUGGAACACUGGCAGAUUUCAACCUUCUGCCAGCCCUGUUCUUACUGGGGAAGCCAAGGCCUUAUUUGGCACACAGGUGGAGACUAGCUCUUAGCUUAAUUCAGCCCUCCUCCAACAUGAACAAGCCCAGAGCCACCUGGAGGGUUUUGUUUUGUUUUUUGCACUUUUUAGGGCUGCACUCGUGGCAUAUGGAGAUUCCCACGCUAGGGGUCGAAAUGGAGCUACAGCCACCACCUACACCACAGCCCCAGCCACGCAGGAUCCAAGCUGUGUCUGUGACCUACACCACAGCUCAUGACAACACCAGAUCCUUAACCCACGGAGCGAGGCCAGGGAUCGAACCCACAUCCUCAUGGAUCCUAGUUGGGUUCGUGAACUGCAGAGCCAUGAAGGGAACUCCUGGAGGGCUUGUUAAAACAGAGGCUGGACUCCAGCCCCAGAGUUAAUCAGCAGGCUUGAUGGUUCCCAGGUGGGUCGAGAUGUUGUCUUCCCAACAAGUUCCCAGGUGACUCUUAUGCUGCAGGUCCCAGGACUACACAUUAAGAAACCACUGGCCCAUUGCAUCGUUUGGCGUUUUUUGAUCACCUGGAGUGGGCACUGAGCCCAGGACAUAUCCCAACAUCCAGCAGGCCUCACUUGCUCAGCAACAGAUAGAAAACAAGACAGGUAGCAAAUACAAGUAUGAGAAGUAGCUGGGGACUGUUUUCCAAUUGAUACGGUGGCAAGCGCAAAUUCCGCAUGAAUUCUGAAUCAAGUUUGGGGGUUGAAUGGACGCCAGUUAACAUGGAAAACUUGCUGAGGGCUUCCUGGAGGUGGUGAUUUUGAGCCAGCGAGAGGGGUGCUGUGGACAUGGAUUUGUGGAGGGGAAGGGAAGUGGGAGGAAUGAUUCAAGGCAGUUCCUGGGCUGUAACCGCACGGGGAUCCACCCUACCUGGACCUCUGAUUUGCUCCCCGGCUUCUUAGGGCACUUUGACAUGCAGCCAGGGCUGAGAACUGCACUGACACUCCUGUGUUCUAGGUAUUCUCAGUAAGAGCAGUAUCUACCUUUCAGAGGUGCCCUUCUGUGCCCGGCCCCCUUGGCAUCUGUACUAUCACAUUUACACUCCAGUGAGCAGUGGCAUUCCCAUUUUGAUGGGGAGGAAAGCUGGGGUCAAGGGCACAAGUGGUUUGUUAGCACAAAGUCCCGCUGGUAUAGGAAGUGCUGGUGGCUGUCAUGCCUGCUUUCAAAGACUACACUGUGUCCCCCACAGCCUGAGCAGCUGCCCUGGGCUCCAAGACAGCCCCACACUGCUCCUCAAAGCCCCCUGAGAUCUGCUGGAGCAGGGGGAUUGGAAAGCCAUGGUUGUAUAUGGUUCUUUUCUGGGACUGCAGAAGCCACCUGGGGUGGCGAGGAGUGGGACGGGCUCCUGCCAUUCCAUGUGCAAGACCACGGGCUCCGGAGGACCUGGCUCUCCUGCCGUUAAGGCUUGUGACACGUCUCAAAAUCCAAAGGCCUGGCUGUCCUGCCGUUAGGCCAGCUGGGUCUCUGUGACCUGGGCACCCUCACUGGAUUGAGACGUGGAAGGUUUAGUGUUAUAUAAAAAGGAGGAAAUAAGGGACAGAGGAUGUUUCCUUAAAGUGACAAAAAUAUUUUAAAAAUAAUUUUUAUUAAAAAAGACUUGUUGGGGUUCCUUGGUGGCCUAGCGGUUAAAGGAGCUGGUGCUGUCACUACUGUGGUGGAGGUUGAUACCAGGCCCCAGAAACUUCUGCACGCUCUGGGUACGGCCCCAAAAAAACAGACCCCAAAACUUAUCUACUUAACUGGAAAAAUCAUACAGGCUUGGCAAAAGAAACUUGGGAAACCAAAAUGUAAAGAUGAAAACAAUUUCAUUCCAUUCCUGUUGAUGUCUAGGCUUUCCAUCUUUUUUCUACGAAUAUGCAUGUGCACACACAUCUAACACGUGUGGCACAAGAGUUCCUUCAAACUACUCUCUGUAAAAAAAAAAAAA
Molecule: long non-coding RNA, 4260 nt
Filed under: Sus scrofa (pig)
Lineage: Eukaryota; Metazoa; Chordata; Mammalia; Artiodactyla; Suidae
Description: lncRNA (ENSSSCG00045018482.1)
Source: RNAcentral